RNAcentral lists this ribosomal RNA (511 nucleotides) under uncultured bacterium. Its description in RNAcentral is "bacterial SSU rRNA". It matches the Rfam family "Bacterial small subunit ribosomal RNA", at positions 8 to 502 of the family's 1533-position model. The record is from RNAcentral.
AGAGUUUGAUCCUGGCUCAGGACGAACGCUGGCGGCGUGCCUAACACAUGCAAGUCGUGCGAGAAAGCCCCUUCGGGGGUGAGUAAAGCGGCGGACGGGUGAGUAACACGUGAGCGAUCUACCCGACAGUGGGGGAUAACCCAGGGAAACCUGAGCUAAUACCGCAUGUUGCGCCGGCUUGGAAGCCGAGCGUUAAAGCGGGCCUCUCUUUAGAAGCUCGUGCUGUCGGAUGGGCUCGCGGCCUAUCAGCUUGUUGGUGGGGUAACGGCCUACCAAGGCGAUGACGGGUAGCUGGCGUGAGAGCGCGACCAGUCACACUGGGACUGAGACACGGCCCAGACUCCUACGGGAGGCAGCAGUGGGGAAUAUUGCGCAAUGGGCGAAAGCCUGACGCAGCAACGCCGCGUGAGGGAUGAAGGCCCUCGGGUCGUAAACCUCUGUCGGGAGGGAAGAACGGUUUUCAUUCAAAUAGGGUGGAGCCUGACGUACCUCCAAAGAAGCACCGCUAACU